This is a non-coding RNA of Poecilia reticulata (guppy), 519 nucleotides long. The record is from RefSeq and is a predicted model, not a curated record. NCBI's taxonomy places the organism in Eukaryota, Metazoa, Chordata, Actinopteri, Cyprinodontiformes, Poeciliidae.
AAAAUGCUUUUUUUAAAAUUACCAAUAAAGGACUUAGCGAUGUUUACCCUAAUGGUUGUUAUGGAGACUAGAUGGUCCUAAGAUGUUUCUCUAGUGCGCUUUUACAACUCAGACUCAAAUGCCUGUGCAUUCUGUGUUUUUUGCUUAAAGAAUUUGAGAUAUUUAUUCUUACAACAUUUCCUCAAAUCAAGAGAUGGGUUUUUCUAGAAUGUUCAGGGUGACAUUAUACUAUUUCAAUAAUAAAUAGGACUUGAUCUGAAGAUUCUGAAAUGGUUCAUCCCCAGAGAAACCAUCAGCAACCAGAGAACAAGACAAGUUUGGAAGUGUUCGUGUGUGUCUGUGUGUGUUGCAGAAACAAAAGAUAUGAGAUGUGGAGCCAGUCGGUUUUAAGUCUCCUGAUGCUUCCCACUUCCCCUUCUCUGUGGAUCUUUGUCUAGCUCAGUUGAAUAUAUUUGCUCCCAGAAAUCAUCCUGCUUUUGGAUUCCAUGUUUUCAUUCCAACAUGGCGUAGCAGGAGCAA